CGCCAGACUCCUACGGGAGGCAGCAGUGGGGAAUAUUGCACAAUGGGGGGAACCCUGAUGCAGCGACGCCGCGUGAGUGAAGAAGUAUUUCGGUAUGUAAAGCUCUAUCAGCAGGGAAGAAAAUGACGGUACCUGACUAAGAAGCCCCGGCUAACUACGUGCCAGCAGCCGCGGUAAUACGGAGGAUGCGAGCGUUAUCCGGAUUUAUUGGGUUUAAAGGGUGCGCAGGCGGCACGGCAAGCCGGCGGUCAAAGCGCGGGGCUCAACCCCGCCCAGCCGUCGGAACUGCCGGGCUAGAGUGGGCGAGAAGUGCGCGGAAUGCGUGGUGUAGCGGUGAAAUGCAUAGAUAUCACGCAGAACUCCGAUUGCGAAGGCAGCAUACCGGCGCCCAACUGACGCUGAAGCACGAAAGCGUGGGUAUCGAACAGGAUUAGAUACCCCAGUAAUC
This 448-nucleotide ribosomal RNA is filed under the name uncultured bacterium. RNAcentral describes it as "bacterial SSU rRNA". It matches the Rfam family "Bacterial small subunit ribosomal RNA", at positions 329 to 795 of the family's 1533-position model. The record is from RNAcentral.